AUGUUGCGCACGGCGAUCGCCGCGGAGGCCCGGCGGCGCAUCUCCCUUGCCCCGGCAAGAUUCGCGCACGAGCUCGCGCAGGCGCAGGCGCAGGCCCAGACGGCCGUCCCUGAGCGGGGCGGCUUUGAUCCAUCGUGGGCCCCGCUCUACAGGAGAAUCUCGAGGCUGUACGGCAGGCCGCCGGGAAUGGUGGCGGCGGAGAUGGACAACUAUCUCCGCAAGCGGCGCCCGCUCUCCGCGGACCAGAUCGUCGCCUACGUCCGGAAGCUCCGCAAGUUCAAGAGCAACGCUUGCGCGCUCGAGUUGAUGGACUGGAUGGAAUCUCGUGGAGCAAAGUUGAUACCUGGGCAUCAAGCGCUGCGGCUUGGCCUGGUUUCAAAAGUGCAUGGGAUACAGGCAGCUGAAGAAUAUUUCUGGAGCCUUCCUGAUAAGUCAAAGAAAACUUAUUCAUCUUUGCUUAACUGCUAUGGUGAACACAGAAUGGCAAGCAAAGGUCUGGAACUCUAUGAGAAGAUGAAAGUCAUGGACAUUGUUCCAAAUACACUGUUGUACAACAACUUGAUGACUUUGUACCAAAAGGCGGGCCAGCCAGAGAAAAUCCCCUCCACAUUUGAAGAAAUGCGAGAAAGUGGUAUAAGUGCUAACAAUUUUACAUAUUGCAUAUUGAUAGAAAGCUAUGUUACAAUGAAUGACCUGGAGGCUGCAGAGAAAGUCCUGGAAGAAUUGCAGAAGGUGGCUCCAGUUCACUGGUCCUUGUACACUAUGAUGGCAAACAAUUACCUCAAACAAGAGCUGUUUGGAAAGGCAGAAGUGGCCCUAAAGAAAGCUGAGGAAGUCAUGGAUAAAGCUGAGUUGUUGUCCUGGCAUUUCCUCAUCUCUUUGUAUGCCCGUUCUGGCAAUUCAACCGAGCUUAAGAGGAUCUGGGAGUCUUUGAAGUCCACAUUCAAGAAAUGCUCGAACAAAAACUAUCUUGUGAUGCUUGAAGCUCUGAGUAUGAUUGAUGACCUUGAGUCUUUGCAGCAAAUCUUUCAGGAGUGGGAAUCGAGUAAUGAACAUUACGACAUGAGGAUAACAAAUGUCAUGAUCAAAGCUUACCUUGAUAAGGGCAUGAUAGACGAAGCUGAGGCUAUCCGUCAGAGCACCAUGUCUCAGGGCCAUUGCAACGGGAGGACGGUUUACAUGUUUGCCGAGUUCUAUUUGGACAAAUCUGAUGUUACCGCGGCACUGGAGAUCUUGAGAGAUGCAAAGAAGAUGCUUACGGCACACAAAUGGGUGCCAUCGGAAAAGCUUACGAGCAGAUUUCUGAAGCACUAUGAAGAGUCAAAGGAUGUUGAUGGUGUGGAGUCUUUCUGCGAGUGCCUGAAGAAGCUCGAAUGCCUUGAUGCGGAAGCUUAUGAGGGCAUGGUGCGGACCUAUAUAGCUGCAGGUAGAACCAACCCAUCCAUUGCUCAGCGCAUCGAAGAUGAUGGGAUUCACGUUGGCCCUGAGACGACGAAAUUGCUGGAGCGUGUUUCCGGCAAUUGA
Molecule: ribosomal RNA, 1524 nt
Filed under: Triticum aestivum (bread wheat)
Lineage: Eukaryota; Viridiplantae; Streptophyta; Magnoliopsida; Poales; Poaceae
Description: partial small subunit ribosomal RNA
Source: RNAcentral